Molecule: ribosomal RNA, 253 nt
Filed under: uncultured bacterium
Lineage: Bacteria
Description: partial 16S ribosomal RNA
Rfam family: Bacterial small subunit ribosomal RNA
Source: RNAcentral
UACGUAGGGCGCAAGCGUUGUCCGGAAUUAUUGGGCGUAAAGAGCUCGUAGGCGGCUUGUCACGUCGGGUGUGAAAGCCCGGGGCUUAACCCCGGGUCUGCAUUCGAUACGGGCUAGCUAGAGUGUGGUAGGGGAGAUCGGAAUUCCUGGUGUAGCGGCGAAAUGCGCAGAUAUCAGGAGGAACACCGGUGGCGAAGGCGGAUCUCUGGGCCAUUACUGACGCUGAGGAGCGAAAGCGUGGGGAGCGAACAGG